AGAGUUGAUCCUGGCUUAGGAUGAACGCUAGCGACAGGCUUAACACAUGCAAGUCGAGGGGCAGCACGGGAGUAGCAAUACAACUGGUGGCGACCGGCGCACGGGUGAGUAACGCGUAUGCAACCUACCUAUCAGAGGGGAAUAACCCGGCGAAAGUCGGACUAAUACCGCAUAAAACAGGGGCACCGCAUGGUGAUAUUUGUUAAAGAGAUUCGCUGAUAGAUGGGCAUGCGUUCCAUUAGGUAGUUGGUGAGGUAACGGCUCACCAAGCCGACGAUGGAUAGGGGAACUGAGAGGUUGGUCCCCCACACUGGUACUGAGACACGGACCAGACUCCUACGGGAGGCAGCAGUGAGGAAUAUUGGUCAAUGGGCGGGAGCCUGAACCAGCCAAGUCGCGUGGAAAAGGAAGAAGGAUCUAUGGUUCGUAAACUUCUUUUGCAGGGGAAUAAAGUGCAGGACGUGUCCUGUUUUGUAUGUACCCUGAGAAUAAGGAUCGGCUAACUCCGUGCCAGCCGCAGC
This 521-nucleotide ribosomal RNA is filed under the name uncultured bacterium. Its description in RNAcentral is "bacterial SSU rRNA". It matches the Rfam family "Bacterial small subunit ribosomal RNA", at positions 8 to 518 of the family's 1533-position model. The record is from RNAcentral.